RNAcentral lists this ribosomal RNA (404 nucleotides) under uncultured bacterium. RNAcentral's name for it is "partial 16S ribosomal RNA". It matches the Rfam family "Bacterial small subunit ribosomal RNA", at positions 28 to 526 of the family's 1533-position model. The record is from RNAcentral.
AUUGAACGCUGGCGGCGUGCUUAACACAUGCAAGUCGAGCGGAGCGGCGAACGGGUGAGUAACGCGUGAGUAACUGCCCCCCUCUCUGGGAUAACAGUUGGAAACGGCUGCUAAUACCGGUUAGUGGGGGAUGACUCGCGUCCUAUCAGCUUGUUGGGUGGGUAGUGGCCUCCCAAGGCGACGACGGGUAGCCGGCCUGAGAGGGCGACCGGCCAAAUUGGGCUGAGGUACGGCCCAAACUCCUACGGGCGGCAGCAGUGGGGAAUAGUGAACAAUGGGGGGAACCCUGAUGCAGCAAGGUGCGGGCGGGAUGACGGCGUUCGGGUUGUAAACCGCUUUCAGCCAUGACGCGGUAGUGGCAGAAGAAGCACCGGCUAACUACGUGCCAGCAGCCGCGGUAAUUC